This 1454-nucleotide ribosomal RNA is filed under the name uncultured Bordetella sp. RNAcentral's name for it is "partial 16S-23S ribosomal RNA intergenic spacer". It matches the Rfam family "Bacterial small subunit ribosomal RNA". The record is from RNAcentral. Lineage: Bacteria; Pseudomonadati; Pseudomonadota; Betaproteobacteria; Burkholderiales; Alcaligenaceae.
GGUUCGAUCUUCGGCUCAGAUUGAACGCUGGCGGGAUGCUUUACACAUGCAAGUCGAACGGCAGCACGGACUUCGGUCUGGUGGCGAGUGGCGAGCGGGUGGUAAUGUAUCGGAACAGUGCCUAGUAGCGCUGGGGGAUAACUUCCUGCGAAAGCGUAGCUAAUACGCCGCCCUUCGGGGGGAAAGCGGGAGGACCUUCGGGCCUCACUAUUAGAGCGGCCGAUAUCGGAUUAGCUAGUUGGUGGGGUAACGGCUCACCAAGGCGACGAUCCGUAGCUGGUUUGAGAAGGACGACCAGCCACACUGGGACUGAGACACGGCCCAGACUCCUACAGGAGGCAGCAGUGGGGUACAUGGUGUGGAGAGCACAGUCCAGCCAUCCCGCGCAUUACGUGAAAUAUGGGUUGUAAACACUUUUGGCAGGAAAAAGAAACAGCACCGGGAUAAUACGUGCAGCUGACGUUACCUACCCAGAAUAAGCACCGGCUAAUAUACGUGCCAGCAGCCGCGGUAAUACGUAGUGCAAAGCGUUAAUCGGAAUUACUGGGCGUAAAGCGUGCCAGGUUCGGAAGAAAGAUGUGAAAAUCGAGCUUGCUGGGUUGCGUGCAACUACCGACUACGGUGUCAGGGUGGAAUUUCGCGUGUAGCAGUAAUGCGUAGAAUAUGCGGAAGAGUACCUGUGGCGAAGGCAACCCUCCUGGGAUAACACUGCAAUAGCUCAUGCACGAGACGUGGGGAGCAAACAGGAUUAGAUACCCUGGUAGUCCACGCCCUAAACGAUGUCAACUAGCUGUUGGGGCCUUCGGGCAUGGUAGCGCAGCUAACUGUGGUGAAGUUGACCGCCUGCGGGAGUACGGUCGCAAGAUUAAAACUCAAAGGUGACGGGGACCCGCACAAGCGGUGGAUGAUGUGGAUUAAUUCGAUGCAACGCGAAAAACCUUACCUACCCUUGACAUGUCUGGAAUCCCGAAGAGAUUUGGGGUGCUCGCAAGAGAACCGGAACACAGGUGCUGCAUGGCUGUCGUCAGCUCGUGUCGUGAGAUGUUGGGUUAAGUCCCGCAACGAGCGUGUAAUGGCUGGAUUGCUACGAAAGGGCUCUAAUGGACUGCCCGGUGACAAACCGGAGGAGGUGAGAUGACGUCAAGUCCUCAUGGCCCGCAUAUAAUUGGUGGGCUUCACACGUCGCCACAAUGGUCGGGACAGAGGGUCGCCAGCCUCCGCGAGGGGGAGCAAUCCGAAACCCGAUCGUAGUCGGAUCGCAGUCUGCAACUCGACUGCGUGAAGUCUGGAAUCGCUGGUAAUCGCGGAUCAGCAUGUCGCGGUGAAUACGUUCCCGGGUCUUGUACCCACCACCCGUCACACCAUGGAGUGCGGGUUUUACGAUGAUUAUUUUCGCCGUAGGAGAGGCAUUCUACAUUAGUUCAUGUGACUGGGGUGAAGUCGUAACAACGGGU